This 315-nucleotide ribosomal RNA is filed under the name Bifidobacterium longum. RNAcentral describes it as "bacterial SSU rRNA". It matches the Rfam family "Bacterial small subunit ribosomal RNA", at positions 55 to 353 of the family's 1533-position model. The record is from RNAcentral. Lineage: Bacteria; Bacillati; Actinomycetota; Actinomycetes; Bifidobacteriales; Bifidobacteriaceae.
GCCCCUUUUAAUGCAGGUCCACGGGCUCCAUCGGGCUUUGCUUGGUGGUGAGAGUGGCGAACGGGUGAGUAAUGCGUGACCGACCUGCCCCAUACACCGGAAUAGCUCCUGGAAACGGGUGGUAAUGCCGGAUGCUCCAGUUGAUCGCAUGGUCUUCUGGGAAAGCUUUCGCGGUAUGGGAUGGGGUCGCGUCCUAUCAGCUUGACGGCGGGGUAACGGCCCACCGUGGCUUCGACGGGUAGCCGGCCUGAGAGGGCGACCGGCCACAUUGGGACUGAGAUACGGCCCAGACUCCUACGGGAGGCAGCAGUAGGA